Molecule: long non-coding RNA, 1169 nt
Organism: Populus euphratica (Euphrates poplar)
Lineage: Eukaryota; Viridiplantae; Streptophyta; Magnoliopsida; Malpighiales; Salicaceae
Exons: 3
Source: RefSeq, a predicted model, not a curated record
UUCAUGCGACCUUCGAAGCUUUGCUGUCUUUACGAGAAAAGCACCCCCAUCCUCGCGAAUAUUCUCCAUUGCCACCCACCACUAACAAAACAGCAACUUGCUCUUUCAUUAAAUACAAUUACUCCCUCUCUUCCAUCCAUGUUCUCUCUUCUUUCUUUCUAUGCAUAUAAUUUGUUGUUAUUUCGAUCUCAGCCAUCGAUCGAUAAUUUCCAUCCAUCAGAGCCACAACCAUCGUCAAGCACGAUCUUCAGGGUGAUCACGAUAUGAAGAACAAAGUAAAGGGCGGUAAUAUUCACUGUCAGCAAAAGAAGAGGAGAAGUUAUGGCAAACCUAAAUGCAUGGCGUCUCGUUGUUGCCCUUGUUUUGCAGUGUCGUCAAUAGCUAGAAGGAUGGGGAGAUGCCUGUUUGUAAGCUGUUACCCUGUCAUGCAGUGCUUUCGAUUGGAUGACCACAGACAUCAGCAUGACCAUCACAAGCAUUUUCAUUCCUUCUGAAUUUUGUAUCAUUUUCUCUUUUUUUUUUAAGGUUUGGUCCAAUCACGAUUUUUUGAGUUUGUACCAUAUUAAUGAAGAAAAGAAGUUGUUAUAUGAUUCUUUGGUGUAUUUAUUUAUGCAAGGAUUUUAUGAUCAAGCUACCUUGAUUUUUGGCCUCAGUACUUGCACAGUCCUAUAUGCUGAUUGCUUUGUUAGAGACAUGAAGGAGAAAGAGAAGAAAAGGAAAGGUUUGGAGGUUGUAUAAGAGAUCGGUUGAAUCUGGGGAAGCUGAACACUUCGAGGAAUCAAAGUUAGUAGGGAAGGUUCUGUGCUUUAUAUAAUUGCUAUCAUCCGGCGCUUUAUGGAUUUGGAGAGCUGAUACUCAUUCAUUGCAGCAUUUUUGUCUCAACUGAUUUAAUCAAUUAUUGGAUUGAAAAUUCAUGUUGACUUUGUAAGCAUACAUGUUUUUGAGAAUCAAGUCCAGGCAGAGCUGCCUGGUAACCAGGGAAUUCUAUUAAAAUCUUUGGUUAAGGCCAUCUCUGAUUUGAUUCUGUAAACAUCAAGCAUAUGCUACGCGUAUCAUUGCCAAAAUUUGCCUUUUGUAGUCAGGGAAAAUCAGAAACAGAGUAAUCAACACAGAAGUGAAUUAUGACCAUGAUUGGAUUUUUUAGACAUGUAUAUAUGUGAUUCAUAGCA